CCUACGGGUGGCUGCAGUGAGGAAUAUUGGUCAAUGGGCGGGAGCCUGAACCAGCCAAGUCGCGUGAGGGAAGACGGUCCUACGGAUUGUAAACCUCUUUUGCCGGGGAGCAACGGGGUCCUUGCGAGGGCCCGAUGAGAGUACCCGGAGAAAAAGCAUCGGCUAACUCCGUGCCAGCAGCCGCGGUAAUACGGAGGAUGCGAGCGUUAUCCGGAUUUAUUGGGGUUAAAGGGUGCGUAGGCGGGUUAUCAAGUCAGCGGUAAAAUCGUGGAGCUCAACUCCAUCCAGCCGUUGAAACUGAUGAUCUUGAGUGGGCGAGAAGUAUGCGGAAUGCGUGGUGUAGCGGUGAAAUGCAUAGAUAUCACGCAGAACUCCGAUUGCGAAGGCAGCAUACCGGCGCCCGACUGACGCUGAAGCACGAAAGCGUGGGUAUCGAACAGGAUUAGAUACCCCUGUAGUC
RNAcentral lists this ribosomal RNA (460 nucleotides) under uncultured bacterium. Its description in RNAcentral is "partial 16S ribosomal RNA". It matches the Rfam family "Bacterial small subunit ribosomal RNA", at positions 338 to 795 of the family's 1533-position model. The record is from RNAcentral.